This 806-nucleotide ribosomal RNA is filed under the name Sarcocystis sp. E14-2. Its description in RNAcentral is "SSU rRNA". It matches the Rfam family "Eukaryotic small subunit ribosomal RNA", at positions 49 to 809 of the family's 1831-position model. Lineage: Eukaryota; Apicomplexa; Conoidasida; Eucoccidiorida; Sarcocystidae. The record is from RNAcentral.
CCAUGCAUGUCUAAGUAUAAGCUUGUUAUACGGCGAAACUGCGAAUGGCUCAUUAAAACAGUUAUAGUUUAUUUGAUAGUCAGUUCAAUACUACUACAUGGAUAACCGUGGUAAUUCUAUGGCUAAUACAUGCGCAAAUACUAUAUUCCUUGAGGAUAUAGUAGUGUUUAUUAGAUACAGAACCAAUACGCUACCACAAAUUUUGUGGUAGUGUAGAAAAAAGGUGAUUCAUAGUAACCGAACGGAUCGCAUAUAAUAAUCAUCCUCGGAUGAUUGGCGAUAGAUCAUUCAAGUUUCUGACCUAUCAGCUUUCGACGGUAGUGUAUUGGACUACCGUGGCAGUGACGGGUAACGGGGAAUUAGGGUUCGAUUCCGGAGAGGGAGCCUGAGAAACGGCUACCACAUCUAAGGAAGGCAGCAGGCGCGCAAAUUACCCAAUCCUGACUUAGGGAGGUAGUGACAAGAAAUAACAACACUGGAGAUUUUAUUUCUAGUGAUUGGAAUGAUGGGAAUCCAAACCCCUUUCAGAGUAACAAUUGGAGGGCAAGUCUGGUGCCAGCAGCCGCGGUAAUUCCAGCUCCAAUAGCGUAUAUUAAAGUUGUUGCAGUUAAAAAGCUCGUAGUUGGAUAUCUGCUGGAAGCAAUCGGUCCGCUCUAUUAUUAGGGUGUGCACCUGAUGAAUUCUGGCAUGUUCUUUCCAAUAACUACUAGUCAGAUUUAUUUCUGAUUCUGGGUUGUUGGGAAAGCGUUACUUUGAGAAAAUUAGAGUGUUUGAAGCAGGCUAUUGUUGCCUUGAAUACUGCAGCA